GUUUGAAUGAUGACUAUGAAAGUCGGAUACCCCUUCACUCUUUUUAUGAGUGACAAUGAUAGUCUGACAAAC
Laticauda laticaudata (blue-ringed sea krait) is the source of this 72-nucleotide small nucleolar RNA. Ensembl annotates it as small nucleolar RNA, C/D box 101. The record is from Ensembl. NCBI's taxonomy places the organism in Eukaryota, Metazoa, Chordata, Lepidosauria, Squamata, Elapidae.